GUAGGAGAGGGGAGGCCAGUUGCCUCUCAAACAGUCAUGUGGACCUAGCCUGAGGUAGUAGCCAUAGAUGUCAGUGGCAAGACAGAAGAUUCAGUCUCUAAACAAAACCAUCAACUCUCAGAAAGAAGAGUCUAUGUCCCUGUACACAGAAUCUGGCUUGACUUUGCGACUUGCUUUCACCAAUCAAAUGCAGAAGAAGUGAAGUCUGGUCCUCAGGAGGUUUUGUACUCCUCUGCUGACUCUCCUGGGAUGCUAAAAACGCCAUGAGUCCUAGUUACGACUAACUUACAUGGCCUAGUCACCUCCAUUGUCCAAGCCAAUAGGUACCCAGCCAUCACACCUAGAGUGAGGCCAUUCCAAUCUCCAGCUGAUCUGCUGUGGAUGAGCAUGGCCAAGAUCAACUGAGCUUGGCUCAGAUGAGCAAGACUCCCUGGAUAACCUACAAUCUUGUGGAGAAAUGGAGGCACUCAUGGAUCAAGCAUUUUCCCAGGGCCACAUAGUUAAUGUAGCACUUAGAAGACUGGGUAUCUUUUUCAAUGCCACAUAGCAGCACAGCUAGGAGUUGAACCAGGCAGUCUGGUGCUACAGGCCAUACAUUUUGACAUGUGUUUUGUUGCCUCUUGACAAAGUCCAUGGACUGUGAUCCUGGGACCAACAGCAUCAGUAUCAACUGGGAACUUCUUAGAAAUUCAAAUUCUUGGGGCUAUUCCCCAAAUUUCUGAGUCAGAAGCUCUGGGGAUAGGGCCCAGCCAAGCUAUGUGUUAACAGACUUUUUAGAUCAGGGGUUCCCCCCAACUCCCAGGCCAAGAACCAGUACCAGUCUGUGGCCUGUUAGGAACCAGGCUGCACAGCAGGAGGUGAGGGCAGGUGAGCAUUACUGCCUGAGCCCUGCCUCCUAUCAGAUCAGUGGUGUCAUGGCAUUAGAUUCUCACAGGAGCAAGAACCAUAUUGUGAACUGCACACACAAGGGAUCUAGGCUGCGUGCUCCUUAUAAGCAUCUAAUGCCUGAUGACCUGAGCUAGAACAAUUUCAUCCUGAAACCACCUCCCCCUUCCCCCAACCCCAUCCAUGAAAAAAUUGUCUUCUAUGAAACUGGCCCCUGGUGCCAAAAAGGUUGGGGGUGGCUGUUUCAGAUUAUUCUUACUCAGGAUAAAGUUUGAGGACAUCUGCCCUAGCUCCUUAAAUUUAAGCUAUAAUUCAUAAAUUGUGUUCUUACGGUGCAUUAGGAUAAUGCAUUGAAUAGGUGAUUUUUGGAUGACUCCUAUGUGCUAGCUACCAUUGUACUUGUAGGUGUUACCAUGCAGAACAAAAGGUAAAGUAUUCCUUGGGAAAUAAACAGCCAAAUAAAGACUUAAAUAAACACAAGA
This is a long non-coding RNA of Pan troglodytes (chimpanzee), 1367 nucleotides long. RefSeq lists it as uncharacterized. The transcript has 3 exons. NCBI's taxonomy places the organism in Eukaryota, Metazoa, Chordata, Mammalia, Primates, Hominidae. The record is from RefSeq and is a predicted model, not a curated record.